RNAcentral lists this ribosomal RNA (253 nucleotides) under uncultured bacterium. RNAcentral's name for it is "partial 16S ribosomal RNA". It matches the Rfam family "Bacterial small subunit ribosomal RNA", at positions 524 to 776 of the family's 1533-position model. The record is from RNAcentral.
UACGUAGGUGGCAAGCGAUACUCGGAAUCACUAGGCGUAAAGCGCAGGUAGGUGGUUUGGUAAGUCUUUUGUGAAAGCUCCCGGCUCAACUGGGAGAGGUCAAAGGAAACUGCCGGACUAGAGUUUGGUAGGGGAUACUGGAAUUCCUGGUGUAGCGGUGAAAUGCGUAGAUAUCAGGAGGAAUACCUAUGGCGAAAGCAGGUAUCUGGGCCACAACUGACACUGAGCUGCGAAAGCUAGGGGAGCAAACAGG